This 406-nucleotide ribosomal RNA is filed under the name uncultured bacterium. RNAcentral's name for it is "partial 16S ribosomal RNA". It matches the Rfam family "Bacterial small subunit ribosomal RNA", at positions 29 to 526 of the family's 1533-position model. The record is from RNAcentral.
AUUGAACGCUGGCGGCAGGCCUAACACAUGCAAGUCGAACGAGUGGCGGACGGGUGAGUAAUGUCUGGGAAACUGCCUGAUGGAGGGGGAUAACUACUGGAAACGGUAGCUAAUACCGCAUACCAUCAAAUGUGCCCAGAUGGGAUUAGCUAGUGGGUGUGGUAACGGCUCACCAAGGCGACUAUCCCUAGCUGGUCUGAGAGGAUGACCAGUCACACUGGAACUGAGACACGGUCAAGACUACUAGGGGAGGCAGCAGUGGGGAAUAUGGCACAAUGGGCGCAAGCCUGAUACAGAAAUGCCGCGUGAAUGAAGAAGGCCUUCGGGGUGGAAAGUACUUUCAGCGGAGAGGCGUUACCCGCAGAAGAAGCACCGGCGAACUCCGUGCCAGCAGCCGGGGUAAUAC